This 468-nucleotide ribosomal RNA is filed under the name uncultured bacterium. RNAcentral describes it as "partial 16S ribosomal RNA". It matches the Rfam family "Bacterial small subunit ribosomal RNA", at positions 28 to 507 of the family's 1533-position model. The record is from RNAcentral.
GACGAACGCUGGCGGCGUGCUUAACACAUGCAAGUCGAACGGAAAGGCCCUGCUUUUGUGGGGUGCUCGAGUGGCGAACGGGUGAGUAACACGUGAGUAACCUGCCCUUGACUUUGGGAUAACUUCAGGAAACUGGGGCUAAUACCGGAUAGGAGCUCCUGCUGCAUGGUGGGGGUUGGAAAGUUUCGGCGGUUGGGGAUGGACUCGCGGCUUAUCAGCUUGUUGGUGGGGUAGUGGCUUACCAAGGCUUUGACGGGUAGCCGGCCUGAGAGGGUGACCGGCCACAUUGGGACUGAGAUACGGCCCAGACGCCUACGGGAGGCAGCAGUGGGGAAUAUUGCACAAUGGGCGGAAGCCUGAUGCAGCAACGCCGCGUGCGGGAUGACGUCCUUCGGGUUGUAAACCGCUUUCGCCUGUGACAAAGCGUGAGUGACGGUAAUGGGUAAAGAAGCACCGGCUAACUACGUG